UACGUAGGCAGCAAGCGUUGUUCGGAGUUACUGGGCGUAAAGGGUGCGUAGGCGGUCCUAUAAGUAUGGUGUGAAAUCUCCCGGCUUAACUGGGAGGGUGCGCUAUAGACUGUGGGACUAGAGUGUGGGAGAGGAAAGUGGAAUUCCUGGUGUAGCGGUGAAGUGCGUAGAUAUCAGGAGGAACACCGGUGGUGUAAACGGCUUUCUGGACAAUAACUGACGCUGAGGCGCGAAAGCGUGGGGAGCAAACAGG
Molecule: ribosomal RNA, 253 nt
Filed under: uncultured bacterium
Lineage: Bacteria
Description: partial 16S ribosomal RNA
Rfam family: Bacterial small subunit ribosomal RNA
Source: RNAcentral